RNAcentral lists this transfer RNA (50 nucleotides) under Tiliqua rugosa (stump-tailed skink). RNAcentral's name for it is "partial tRNA-Cys". Lineage: Eukaryota; Metazoa; Chordata; Lepidosauria; Squamata; Scincidae. The record is from RNAcentral.
CUAGAGUGCAAAUCUAGAGAAGCACACUGAGGUGUGCCGGAGCUUCUUUU